RNAcentral lists this ribosomal RNA (440 nucleotides) under uncultured bacterium. RNAcentral's name for it is "partial 16S ribosomal RNA". It matches the Rfam family "Bacterial small subunit ribosomal RNA", at positions 338 to 795 of the family's 1533-position model. The record is from RNAcentral.
CCUACGGGUGGCUGCAGUGGGGGAUAUUGCACAAUGGGGGGAACCCUGAUGCAGCGACGCCGCGUGGGUGAAGAAGCGCCUCGGCGCGUAAAGCCCUGUCAGCAGGGAAGAAAAUGACGGUACCUGAAGAAGAAGCCACGGUUAACUACGUGCCAGAGGCGGCGGUAAAGCGUAGGGGGAAAGCGUUACCCGGAUUUACUGGGUGUAAAGGGGGCGCAGACGGCGAUGCAAGCCAGGAGUGAAAGCCCGGGGGCCAACCCCGGGACGGCGCUUGGAACUGCGUGGCUGGAGUGCAGGAGGGGCAGGCGGAAUUCCUGGUGUAGCGGUGAAAUGCGUAGAUAUCAGGAGGAACACCGGUGGCGAAGGCGGCCUGCUGGACUGCAACUGACGUUGAGGCCCGAAAGCGUGGGGAGCAAACAGGAUUAGAUACCCCUGUAGUC